AGUGAACGCUGGCGGUAGGCCUAACACAUGCGAGUCGAACGGCAGCACAGUAAGAGCUUGCUCUUACGGGUGGCGAGUGGCGGACGGGUGAGGAAUACAUCGGAAUCUACUUUUUCGUGGGGGAUAACGUAGGGAAACUUACGCUAAUACCGCAUACGACCUACGGGUGAAAGCAGGGGAUCUUCGGACCUUGCGCGAUUGAAUGAGCCGAUGUCGGAUUAGCUAGUUGGCGGGGUAAAGGCCCACCAAGGCGACGAUCCGUAGCUGGUCUGAGAGGAUGAUCAGCCACACUGGAACUGAGACACGGUCCAGACUCCUACGGGAGGCAGCAGUGGGGAAUAUUGGACAAUGGGCGCAAGCCUGAUCCAGCCAUACCGCGUGGGUAAAGAAGGCCUUCGGGUUGUAAAGCCCUUUUGUUGGGAAAGAAAAGCAGCAGGUUAAUACCCCGCUGUUCUGACGGUACCCAAAGAAUAAGCACCGGCUAACUUCGUG
This 492-nucleotide ribosomal RNA is filed under the name uncultured bacterium. Its description in RNAcentral is "partial 16S ribosomal RNA". It matches the Rfam family "Bacterial small subunit ribosomal RNA", at positions 29 to 507 of the family's 1533-position model. The record is from RNAcentral.